Molecule: transfer RNA, 74 nt
Filed under: Jatropha curcas
Lineage: Eukaryota; Viridiplantae; Streptophyta; Magnoliopsida; Malpighiales; Euphorbiaceae
Rfam family: tRNA
About the family: Transfer RNA (tRNA) molecules are approximately 80 nucleotides in length. Their secondary structure includes four short double-helical elements and three loops (D, anti-codon, and T loops). Further hydrogen bonds mediate the characteristic L-shaped molecular structure. tRNAs have two regions of fundamental functional importance: the anti-codon, which is responsible for specific mRNA codon recognition, and the 3' end, to which the tRNAs corresponding amino acid is attached (by aminoacyl-tRNA synthetases). tRNAs cope with the degeneracy of the genetic code in two manners: having more than one tRNA (with a specific anti-codon) for a particular amino acid; and 'wobble' base-pairing, i.e. permitting non-standard base-pairing at the 3rd anti-codon position.
Source: Rfam by way of RNAcentral
GUUCCCGCAGUUCAAUUGGUUAGAGUGUUAAUCUUAUGAGUCGAAGGUCAUGGGUUUGAGCCCUAUCGGGGCCA